AAUAAUAGAAUAGGACGAUGAUUCUAUUUUGUUGGUUUCUAGGACCAUCGUAAUGAUUAAUAGGGAUAGUUGGGGGCAUUAGUAUUCAAUUGUCAGAGGUGAAAUUCUUGGAUUUAUUGAAGACUAACUACUGCGAAAGCAUUUGCCAAGGAUGUUUUCAUUAAUCAAGAACGAAAGUUAGGGGAUCGAAGACGAUCAGAUACCGUCGUAGUCUUAACCAUAAACUAUGCCGACUAGGGAUCGGACGAUGUUGUUUCAAUGACUCGUUCGGCACCUUAUG
This 280-nucleotide ribosomal RNA is filed under the name uncultured Glomeromycotina. Its description in RNAcentral is "partial 18S ribosomal RNA". It matches the Rfam family "Eukaryotic small subunit ribosomal RNA", at positions 813 to 1092 of the family's 1831-position model. Lineage: Eukaryota; Fungi; Glomeromycota. The record is from RNAcentral.